CUUCUCUUCUUCUCUUCUUCUUCUCUUCUUCUUUUCUUCUUGUCCUUCUUAUUUUUGGUCUUCUCCUCCUCUUCUUCUUCUUCUUCUUCUUCUUCUUCUCCUCCUCCUCUUCUUCUCUUCUCCUCCUCCGCCUCUUCUUCUUCUUCCUAUUCUUUCAAUUAAGCUAACUAACUAGCUAACUUAACUAACCAAGCUAACUAAACCUAUCGCUAAACCUAGAUAGCACUAAACAACAAAAAAAAAGAAUCUACCACUAAGUAACAAAAAAAGAAUCUAGCUACCACCAAAAUACCAAACAAUGAAAAAUCAACUUCUUCUUCUUUUUUCUGUUAUGCUCCUUCUUAUUUUUUUUCUUAUUCUCUUCUUCUUUACUUCUUCUCCUUCUUAUUUUUUCUUCUCUUCUUCUUCUUCUUCUUCUUCUUCUUCUCCUUCUUAUUUUUUUUCUUCUCCUCUUCUUCUUCUUCUUCUUCUUAUUCUUCUUCUUCUUCUUCUUCUUCUUCUUCUUUUCUU
RNAcentral lists this long non-coding RNA (510 nucleotides) under Hordeum vulgare. Its description in RNAcentral is "long non-coding RNA (HVUL_LNC012320)". Lineage: Eukaryota; Viridiplantae; Streptophyta; Magnoliopsida; Poales; Poaceae. The record is from RNAcentral.